GGAUUGUUUAUGAGUUUGUUUGCAGUCACUUCUACUGCCUCGGCUCAAACAGGUGGAUCGUUUUUUGACCCUUUU
RNAcentral lists this transfer RNA (75 nucleotides) under Bacillus subtilis subsp. subtilis str. BSP1. RNAcentral describes it as "tRNA-Gln". The record is from RNAcentral. Lineage: Bacteria; Bacillati; Bacillota; Bacilli; Caryophanales; Bacillaceae.